Molecule: ribosomal RNA, 429 nt
Filed under: Chloroflexota bacterium
Lineage: Bacteria; Bacillati; Chloroflexota
Description: Chloroflexi bacterium partial 16S ribosomal RNA
Rfam family: Bacterial small subunit ribosomal RNA
Source: RNAcentral
UGGGGAAUAUUGCACAAUGGGCGCAAGCCUGAUGCAGCCAUGCCGCGUGUGUGAAGAAGGCCUUCGGGUUGUAAAGUACUUUCAGUCGGGAGGAAGGUGGUAAGGUUAAUAACCUUGGCAAUUGACGUUACCGACAGAAGAAGCACCGGCUAACUCCGUGCCAGCAGCCGCGGUAAUACGGAGGGUGCAAGCGUUAAUCGGAAUUACUGGGCGUAAAGCGCACGCAGGCGGUUGAUUGAGUCAGAUGUGAAAUCCCCGGGCUUAACCCGGGAAUUGCAUCUGAUACUGGUCAGCUAGAGUCUUGUAGAGGGGGGUAGAAUUCCAUGUGUAGCGGUGAAAUGCGUAGAGAUGUGGAGGAAUACCGGUGGCGAAGGCGGCCCCCUGGCCAAAGACUGACGCUCAGGUGCGAAAGCGUGGGGAGCAAACAGG